Molecule: signal recognition particle RNA, 242 nt
Filed under: Myotis davidii
Lineage: Eukaryota; Metazoa; Chordata; Mammalia; Chiroptera; Vespertilionidae
Description: Metazoan signal recognition particle RNA
Rfam family: Metazoan signal recognition particle RNA
About the family: The signal recognition particle (SRP) is a universally conserved ribonucleoprotein. It is involved in the co-translational targeting of proteins to membranes.
Source: Rfam by way of RNAcentral
GCUGGGCGCGCACCUGUAGUCCCAGCUACUCGGGAGGCUGAAGCUGUAGUGCGCUAUGCUGAUCGGGUGUCCACACUAAGUUCGGCAUCAAUAUGGUGGCCUCCCGGGAGUGGGGGGCCACCAGGUUUCCUAAGGAGGGGUGAACCGGCCCAGGUUGGAGACGAAGCAGGUCAAAGCUCCCGUGCUGAUCAGUAGUGGGAUCGCGCCUGUGAAGAGCCACUGCACUCCAGCCUGGGCAACAU